This 48-nucleotide transfer RNA is filed under the name Promenaea xanthina. RNAcentral describes it as "partial tRNA-Leu". The record is from RNAcentral. Lineage: Eukaryota; Viridiplantae; Streptophyta; Magnoliopsida; Asparagales; Orchidaceae.
AAAUCCGUCGAAUUUUUAAAUCGUGAGGGUUCGAGUCCUCUAUCCCCA